Molecule: non-coding RNA, 804 nt
Filed under: Theretra silhetensis
Lineage: Eukaryota; Metazoa; Arthropoda; Insecta; Lepidoptera; Sphingidae
Source: RNAcentral
AAAAAAAAUUCUAUGUGAAAAAAUUUACAGAUAAAUAAAUUUUUUAUGGUUUGUUUAUUUUAUUUUAAGUUUAUUUUACAUGUAAAUUUUAGUGUUAUAUAUUAAUUAUUUAAAUAAUAUUUAAUUUUUUUGCAGUAAUUAAUUUUAAAAAUUUAAGAAAUUAAGAUUUAGUAAUAUUUAAAUUAAUAACUAAUUUUGUGCCAGCAGUUGCGGUUAUACAAAAGUUAAUUUAAAAUUUUUUAGUUAUUAAUAAUUAAUUAGGUUAAUAAUUUAAAUUAAGAAUUAUUAGGUGAAAUUUUAAUUUUUUAAAAAAUUAUUUUAUAAUUAUGAAUUAAUAAAUUUUGUUAAAAACUAGGAUUAGAUACCCUAUUAUUAAAAAAUUAAAUAAAAAUACUAAAAUAGUAGAUAAUUUAUUGAAACUUAAAUAAUUUGGCGGUAUUUUAGUUUAUUUAGAGGAAUCUGUUUAAUAAUUGAUAAUCCACGAAUAAAUUUACUUAAUUUAAAAUUUUGUAUAUCGUUGUUAAAAAAAUAUUUUUUUAUAAUAAUAAUAUUUAAAAUUUAAAAUUAAAAAUUAAAUCAGAUCAAGAUGCAGAAUAUAAUUAAGAAUAUAAUGGAUUACAAUAAAUUUAUUUAAUUUGGAUUUUAAUAUGGAAAGAUUAAAUGAAAUUGGAUUUAAAUGUAAUUUUAUAAAAUUUUAUAAAAUGAUUAAUAAUUAAAAUAUGUACAUAUUGCCCGUCGCUUUCAUUUAUAAAUUGGAAUAAGUCGUAACAAAGUAGAGGUACUGGAAAGUGUUUCUAGAAAGAU